RNAcentral lists this ribosomal RNA (107 nucleotides) under Phycisphaerae bacterium. The record is from RNAcentral. Lineage: Bacteria; Pseudomonadati; Planctomycetota; Phycisphaerae.
CCUGGUGACUAUACGUGCGGGGAAACGCCUGAUCCCAUUCCGAACUCAGAAGCUAAGCCUGUGCGGCCGAUGGUAGUCCUUACGGGCGAGAGUAGGUAUCGCCAGGA